Molecule: ribosomal RNA, 505 nt
Filed under: uncultured bacterium
Lineage: Bacteria
Description: partial 16S ribosomal RNA
Rfam family: Bacterial small subunit ribosomal RNA
Source: RNAcentral
AGUGAACGCUGGCGGUAGGCCUAACACAUGCAAGUCGAACGGCAGCACAGGAGAGCUUGCUCUCUGGGUGGCGAGUGGCGGACGGGUGAGGAAUACAUCGGAAUCUACUUUUUCGUGGGGGAUAACGUAGGGAAACUUACGCUAAUACCGCAUACGACCUACGGGUGAAAGCAGGGGAUCUUCGGACCUUGCGCGAUUGAAUGAGCCGAUGUCGGAUUAGCUAGUUGGCGGGGUAAAGGCCCACCAAGGCGGCGAUCCGUAGCUGGUCUGAGCGGAUGAUCAGCCACACUGGAACUGAGAGACGGUCCAGACUCCUACGGGAGGCAGCAGUGGGGAAUAUUGGACAAUGGGCGCAAGCCUGAUCCAGCCAUACCGCGUGGGUGAAGAAGGCCUUCGGGUUGUAAAGCCCUUUUGUUGGGAAAGAAAUCCAGCUGGUUAAUACCCGGUUGGGAUGACGGUACCCAAAGAAUAAGCACCGGCUACUUCGUGCCAGCCGCCGCGGUAA